GAUGAACGCUGGCGGCGUGCCUAAUACAUGCAAGUCGAGCGAACAGACGAGGAGCUUGCUCCUCUGACGUUAGCGGCGGACGGGUGAGUAACACGUGGAUAACCUACCUAUAAGACUGGGAUAACUUCGGGAAACCGGAGCUAAUACCGGAUAAUAUAUUGAACCGCAUGGUUCAAUAGUGAAAGACGGUUUUGCUGUCACUUAUAGAUGGAUCCGCGCCGCAUUAGCUAGUUGGUAAGGUAACGGCUUACCAAGGCAACGAUGCGUAGCCGACCUGAGAGGGUGAUCGGCCACAGUGGGACUGAGACACGGCCCAGACUCCUACGGGAGGCAGCAGUAGGGAAUCUUCCGCGAUGGGCGAAAGCCUGAAGGAGCAACGGCGCGUGAGUGAUGAAGGUCUUCGGAUCGUAAAACUCUGUUAUGAGGGAAGAACAAAUGUGUAAGUAACGAAGCGCGUCUUGACGGUACCUAAUAAGAAAGCCACGGCUAACUACGU
RNAcentral lists this ribosomal RNA (496 nucleotides) under uncultured bacterium. Its description in RNAcentral is "partial 16S ribosomal RNA". It matches the Rfam family "Bacterial small subunit ribosomal RNA", at positions 28 to 506 of the family's 1533-position model. The record is from RNAcentral.